CUGCUCUUCUGCCUUGCAGAGGUUUCAUCUGAUCUCAAGAUAGAAGAAGAAAUUGCUCAUAUUACCCAGAUUGGUGUUAGAGGUGGAAACAGGAGGCUCAUGCAAGAAAUGGAUUGUGGGGGGCGAUGCAAGCAGAGGUGCAGCCUCCACUCUAGACCUAAUUUGUGCAAUAGAGCAUGUGGCACGUGCUGUGUGAGGUGUAAGUGUGUGCCACCAGGGACCUCAGGGAACAGAGAAGUAUGUGGGAAAUGCUAUACAGAGAUGACCACCCAUGGCA
Molecule: unclassified non-coding RNA, 277 nt
Filed under: Hevea brasiliensis (rubber tree)
Lineage: Eukaryota; Viridiplantae; Streptophyta; Magnoliopsida; Malpighiales; Euphorbiaceae
Source: RNAcentral